UAUCACCAGCUAUCCAUGGCCCGAUCUGAGACCAACCAAUGGUCAGUGAUUGGAGCGCCAGAAGUAGCAAGCUACCCUAUACAAGGCAUCACUGCUGUCCCCUUGGCCAGCAGUGGUCAGCUUUCCAAAUCCCGUGUAACCAAGUGUUUAGCUGGGCAUACUUGCGGGACCGCGGCGCCGUCUUGCACAAGUUUGGCCAUCGAAGCAGCUCUGCCUACUCCGGCGCUCACUUGAAUGCCUCUUCCUCUUUGUUUCUUGCAUAGUGUUGUUGUUGGGCGUAAGAAUAUAUAGACCAUGGUGUUGUCCGGCACAGAUUUGGCCGGCAAAGCAGCUGUGCCUGCUCCAGUGCUCACUCCGACCUCCAUCCCUGUCCUUCCGGUGGUCAUUUGCUCUUCUGUCCUGGCAGAGGCCUAAAAGUUAAGCCUGGGACGUGGAGAAGCUGCUGAGGCCAAGGGCCCCUUCAACAAAGAUGCUCAUGAUCAAGUCAAAUCCCCCUCUACUAUAACCAAGGUUCAUGACAUGCCACCAUGUGGUCUUCCACUCUGACGCCCCGCCAUGCCCCUCCCCUCAGUUGGCAUCCACUCUCCUUCCUUCCUGACUGUAUAGGUGGCCAAUAUCACCAGCGGCAAACCCUAUCUCCAUGCCUUGGUCUUAGACCAACUAAUGGUUAGUGGUUGGAGCGCCAGAAGCAGCAAGCUAUCCAAUAUAUACAUGGCGUCACUGAUGUCCCCUUGGCUAGCAUUGGUCCUCUUUCCA
Long non-coding RNA from Triticum dicoccoides, 756 nucleotides. RefSeq lists it as uncharacterized. NCBI's taxonomy places the organism in Eukaryota, Viridiplantae, Streptophyta, Magnoliopsida, Poales, Poaceae. The record is from RefSeq and is a predicted model, not a curated record. The transcript has 6 exons.